Culex pipiens pallens (northern house mosquito) is the source of this 717-nucleotide long non-coding RNA. RefSeq lists it as uncharacterized. NCBI's taxonomy places the organism in Eukaryota, Metazoa, Arthropoda, Insecta, Diptera, Culicidae. The record is from RefSeq and is a predicted model, not a curated record. The transcript has 3 exons.
UGUGUACCGGUUUAGUUGUCAGAUGGUUGCCUACCCGCAGGCGUAUUUGGCUCUUGACUGUGAAGGCCAAAAGAAAGAUAUCCCUCAGUCCCCAAUAUCCACGAAUGUUGAGCUUGCUAGACUUUUUUGUGUGACUUGCUCUCGUGCGUAUAUGUUCUUAUUUUUACUCUCUCAGUAGCUUAACCAAUCAGAAGUCCCGUUCUACGCAAGUCGCACAUGAUCGUAUAAAAUUGCGUUCAUACAAAGAUAAGGUUAACUUAAAUAUUGGUCCAAAAAGGGAAGCUCUUUCUUUCUGGUAGAGUACUUUGACCUGUGAACAAGUCAUUUUUAUAAAGUGGAGUGCAAAUUUUGAAAACGGGAACUUUGUUGAGAGUGCGCUCUUUCUCAUCUUUCUGGAAAAUAUUUUGGAAAUUUGGUAUCAGACAAUCAUCAUCACCAGAAUCACCAUCAACGUCGCCCGGACGUCGUAAAGUUCAUUUUCCUUCCAACCAGGGAAGAGGAGCAGCCAAGCAGAGCUCGAUGGGUCGGAAAAUUGUCCUAGGAAUUGAGGAUUUUCAGCGGAAUAAAUCAGAUCCUCUCGCUGGGCUCUCGGCGAGGAUUUUAAACAAAAACAGGAAACGCGACGUUGCUGGGAUAAAAAAAACGAAAUUUCCAAAGAAAAUCCUCGCACAAGUGGUUGUAAAUUAUUUAAACAAGCAGACGGGAAAUAAACAUCUC